RNAcentral lists this long non-coding RNA (877 nucleotides) under Erythranthe guttata (spotted monkey flower). RNAcentral describes it as "long non-coding RNA (EGUT_LNC001373)". Lineage: Eukaryota; Viridiplantae; Streptophyta; Magnoliopsida; Lamiales; Phrymaceae. The record is from RNAcentral.
GCAGAAAUAUAAUAAAGGGGUUCGUGCAAUUCGUUUUAAAGAGAAUGGAAUCUUUUUGUGCCUUAACCACCAAACUGUGUGAUCAAAUCGUCAAGAUUUCAGGAUUCGAAUAAAAAUUAUUAAUAUUUUAAAACGUAAUAAAAGGAUACAAAGGGCUUCAUGUUUUGCUCUUGCCUAGGGCUUCUCCGACUUUGGACCGGCCCUGCAACCACCUUUACACUGUCGAACCGGUAAUAAAACCAAUUAUUAUUGUUAUUAUUUAUUGAAAAAGAAAAAUAAACAAAAUUACAUAUUAUAUAUAUAUUAGCUAGCAUAUAUAUAAAUUAUAUAUAUUACAAAUUACAAAACUACAAGUCGAUAUUAUCACCCUUCCUUCCCAUUUCUUUUAUUCGACAAAUAAAUAAAAACCAACAUUAAUACCUACCAAUGCGAAUAAAUUUAAAAAAAAACAUUUUUUUUUUCAUGGACAUGAAUAAAUUACAUAUUUUUAUAUCUUUUUUUUUUUAUAUUAAUAAUUCAAAAAUCAUAUUGUAUUUCUUUAGUUUUGGAGUGGGAAGGCUUGUUUUUGUGGAACUUGGUCUUGAUCCAUUUAAUGCCUUUGGAGGCACCUUUCUUUACCUUCUUUGCCGCACUUUUCGUUUUCUUCUUUGUUUUCUCCAUCGCCUCCGACGCCACCUCCUUUGUUCGUUCGAACGUCUCUUUCAGCCUCGUCGACAGCUUCGGCUGUGGGUCCCCCAGCCGCUUCGGCUGACGUGCAGCCGGCUCUGUGGCCGCGGUUUCCGCCCACGGGUUAACGUACGACAUUGAAUCACCGACGACCUGUUUUCGAGACCUCAAGAAAAGACUAGUGUUGGCGUCUUCCCUUGAGAGAAAAUUC